This 464-nucleotide long non-coding RNA is filed under the name Panax ginseng (ginseng). RNAcentral describes it as "long non-coding RNA (PGIN_LNC003922)". The record is from RNAcentral. Lineage: Eukaryota; Viridiplantae; Streptophyta; Magnoliopsida; Apiales; Araliaceae.
AUAAUACCAUUCGUUUACAGUUUCAAAUUACUACAUCCACAAAAUAUAUACCAAACUAUCCAUAUAUGCAUCUCAAAUUCACCCGAAACAAACUAUCCUGCAACAAGGUAUGCCAAAGUUGAAGCUUGAAAAGAACAUUUGGUAGUUCAUGAAAACAAGAAACCACCUUCUCAGCUACAUCUCCGCCCUUAGUUUCCCUACUCAACUGCAAUCAGCCAAAGAAGAGAAUCAGAAAACAAGAAAUUUAUUGAAGCUGAACCUAAGAAGAGAAACCAUUAAUAAAGAAAGAGGUGUACGUAAUCAGUUGAGCAUCAAAGGAUAAACUGAGGAAUCUGUCACUAAACUUUGCCUAAAGAUAAUUUUAGUGAUGUUCAACAUGCCUUGAUAUGUCUAAUUAAUGAACACAAAGGGUCACAGAAAUAAUAGUAAGAUUUCAUUACGAGUAGUCACUCAUGUGCAUAUGC